Long non-coding RNA from Aethalodelphis obliquidens (Pacific white-sided dolphin), 1459 nucleotides. RefSeq lists it as uncharacterized. Lineage: Eukaryota; Metazoa; Chordata; Mammalia; Artiodactyla; Delphinidae. The transcript has 4 exons. The record is from RefSeq and is a predicted model, not a curated record.
CCCCUCCCCCCACUAACACUUAACAAUUGCCCCAGUCUCCAGGUGGGGGGAGGGGGAGGUCCUAAAGAUAAUCCCACACAAGUGAAAAGCAUCUGGUUAUCUACCACCUCCUUUCCCAUCCUUCUUUGCUCCUGCAGUCCACUCCUGAGAGGUCAGUGUUGCCAGCCGCCCCACUUUCCAGAGGAGAAAUGGGCUCCAGAGGCCAGGUGACUUGCCCAAGGUCACUCACCCCCCUGGCUCCCAAGCGCAGCCAGGAGCCCUCUCUGCAGACUCACGCCUCCCAGUGCCCUGUUUUCCACUUCUCUGCUCUGCAGCCCUCCGGUUGGAAUGCGCACAGUCUCACCUGCCUCCUGGGAUUCAGCCCCUCUGGUUGUUGGAGGAACCCUGGAGACGAUGGGCGUCCAUCUGCCGUCAAGCAGGAAGAUAUGAAACAGAAAACAAGGAUGGUACCUUCCUCUCAUGGUGCGGUGAGGAUUACUGGACGCGGAUGCUGUAUGGAGAGGUCUACACUUUCGAACGCACUCUUUCCCAUCCAUCAUUUCAUUGGAGCCUCGCUUCAGCACCUCAGGAUGAACAGGACUGAGAGUUUGAUCCACAUUUGACAAACGGGGACACAAGAGCUCAAGCGGCGUUGGUCUCAGGGAAGCAAUCUGCUCAAAUGUCACACAGCCGGUGAGAUUCCGGGAUGGACACGAAGCCAGGCAUCUCAACUCCCGUCUCUUUUCAGAUCAGCCGCUUAGGUAUUCAUCCACUCAACAGACAGUCCCUGAGCUAAGCUGCAGCAAUAAGGCGGUAAAUGGGCAGACACGACUUCCGCCCUCGAGGAACUUGGAGCCUGGUGGCUCAGGACACAGAGACCUUUUCCGAGGCUGCACCAAUCACAGGGAAGACCCAGUUCUGCUCAGAGACGCAGAUCGGGAUGCACCCUGGGUUCAGAGUCAUGGCUUUGUGUGCCCACCUUGGGCAGUGAGCAGGCCAGGAAUAGAAGACUUCUCUGCCCUCAGGGAUGAAAUCCACUCGUUAAUCAGCCCAGAUACUGGGAAUUCCCUGGUGGUCCUGCUUCCAGGGCAGGUUCGAUCCUUGGUCGGGGAACUAAGCUCCUGCAAGCUGUGCAGCACGGCCAAAAAUAAAUACAUAAAUAAAAGUCCAGAGAUUUGCACCAGGAUCCCAGCCUGAACAAGAGUCCUAAAAUAAAGGUUUCCAUAGCCAGAUGCGUUCAGAAAAGCUACACAUCUCCCACCCUCUCUGAGAGUCACACUGCUUUGGCACACCCUGGAAAGUCCUGCAGAAAAGAACCCUGUUUAACACGAUGCUUCCCAAACGUGCUUAACCACGUGAACAGUUUUUUUUUUCAAGCCACGCCUACUAACUUGGGAAUUAGGAACAGGGCAGCGGAAAGAGCACAGUGUCUAGAGCCAGUUACUUGGGUUUGAAGCCAAGCCUUAGAUGCGAUUAGCAC